Molecule: long non-coding RNA, 331 nt
Filed under: Bos mutus (wild yak)
Lineage: Eukaryota; Metazoa; Chordata; Mammalia; Artiodactyla; Bovidae
Description: lncRNA (ENSBMUG00000012882.1)
Source: RNAcentral
GUUUGCUUCCAGAUAGUUGGUUAUCUGUCCACCCCACAAUCCUCUCCACCACUGUCUCAGACCUCAGGGUGUCUGGCUGGAAUCCUGCAUCCCAUAUCCCUGGCCUGAGCGAGAAGGGGUAAAUUCAGGCAGGUUUGGCCAAGGAAUCAACUGGAACAUCAGAGACUCUGCUACACCAAAAGUUGCUCCUCCCUCGGCUGUAAAUGUGGACAAGGUCUCAAUGGGAGACUGCAGAGUGGAAAGAGACCUCCAGAACAACGAACCCCAACAGGAUGCAAAAUGCAGUGUAUACUAUGAUUACAACUCUGCUGAAAUAUAUCUGCCGAUGGAC